This 494-nucleotide ribosomal RNA is filed under the name uncultured bacterium. RNAcentral describes it as "partial 16S ribosomal RNA". It matches the Rfam family "Bacterial small subunit ribosomal RNA", at positions 30 to 523 of the family's 1533-position model. The record is from RNAcentral.
AUUGAACGCUGGCGGCAGGCCUAGCACAUGCAAGUCGGGCGAACGAGGCUUCGGCCAAGUGAGCGGCGAACGGGUGAGUAACACGUAGGAAUCUGCCUGGUAGUGGGGGACAACGUCUCGAAAGGGACGCUAAUACCGCAUACGCCCUACGGGGGAAAGCAGGGGCUCUUCGGACCUUGCGCUAUCAGAUGAGCCUGCGUCGGAUUAGCUAGUUGGUAGGGUAAAGACCUACCAAGGCGACGAUCCGUAACUGGUCUGAGAGGAUGAUCAGUCACACCGGAACUGAGACACGGUCCGGACUCCUACGGGAGGCAGCAGUGGGGAAUAUUGGACAAUGGGGGCAACCCUGAUCCAGCCAUGCCGCGUGUGUGAAGAAGGCCUUCGGGUUGUAAAGCACUUUAGGUCGGGAGGAAGGUUUGCUGGCUAAUAUCCAGCGAAAUUGACGUUACCGACAGAAUAAGCACCGGCUAACUCCGUGCCAGCCGCCGCGGUAA